GAGUUUGAUCAUGGCUCAGAUUGAACGCUGGCGGCAUGCUUUACACAUGCAAGUCGAACGGCAGCGCGAGCUUCGGCCUGGCGGCGAGUGGCGAACGGGUGAGUAAUAUAUCGGAACGUACCCAAGAGUGGGGGAUAACGUAGCGAAAGUUACGCUAAUACCGCAUACGAUCUAAGGAUGAAAGCAGGGGAUCGCAAGACCUUGUGCUCCUGGAGCGGCCGAUAUCUGAUUAGCUAGUUGGUGAGGUAAAGGCUCACCAAGGCAACGAUCAGUAGCUGGUCUGAGAGGACGACCAGCCACACUGGAACUGAGACACGGUCCAGACUCCUACGGGAGGCAGCAGUGGGGAAUUUUGGACAAUGGGGGCAACCCUGAUCCAGCAAUGCCGCGUGAGUGAAGAAGGCCUUCGGUUGUAAGCU
Molecule: ribosomal RNA, 419 nt
Filed under: uncultured beta proteobacterium
Lineage: Bacteria; Pseudomonadati; Pseudomonadota; Betaproteobacteria
Description: bacterial SSU rRNA
Rfam family: Bacterial small subunit ribosomal RNA
Source: RNAcentral